UACGAAGGGGGCUAGCGUUGUUCGGAUUUACUAGGCGUAAAGCGCACGUAGGCGGAUAUUUAAGUCAGGGGUGAAAUCCCGGGGCUCAACCCCGGAACUGCCUUUGAUACUGGGUAUCUUUGAGUCCGGAAGAGGUGAGUGGAAUUCCGAGUGUAGAGGUGAAAUUCGUAGAUAUUCGGAGGAACACCAGUGGCGAAGGCGGCUCACUGGUCCGGUACUGACGCUGAGGUGCGAAAGCGUGGGGAGCAAACAGG
This 254-nucleotide ribosomal RNA is filed under the name uncultured bacterium. RNAcentral describes it as "partial 16S ribosomal RNA". It matches the Rfam family "Bacterial small subunit ribosomal RNA", at positions 524 to 776 of the family's 1533-position model. The record is from RNAcentral.